UACGGAGGGGGCCAGCGUUGUUCGGAAUCAUUGGGCGUAAAGGGCGCGUAGGCGGCUACGCAAGUCGGAUGUGAAAUCCCUCGGCUCAACCGAGGAACUGCAUCCGAAACUGCGAGGCUCGAGUCCUGGAGAGGGUAGUGGAAUUCCCAGUGUAGCGGUGAAAUGCGUAGAUACUGGGAGGAACACCGGUGGCGAAGGCGGCUACCUGGACAGGUACUGACGCUGAGGCGCGAAAGCCAGGGGAGCAAACAGG
Molecule: ribosomal RNA, 253 nt
Filed under: uncultured bacterium
Lineage: Bacteria
Description: partial 16S ribosomal RNA
Rfam family: Bacterial small subunit ribosomal RNA
Source: RNAcentral